GGCGCGAGCAGGGAGGAACGGGAGCGUCCGGCCCCGCGGGUUCCAGACCGGGCUUAAAUACCCCGGGGGCGGCGCCGCUCCUCCUACCCGCGCCCCGCGCCCUGGACCUAAGGAGCGCGGCGAGGUCGUGCAGGUCGGCGAGGCCGAGCGGUCUUUUGCUGGGGGCCAACUUGGGACGAUUUUGAGGCGAGAAAGCGCCUCUACCGAGUAAGGAGAAGGAGAGGUUCCGUGUGGGAGUCCUGGGGUUGCCCGGGUUCGAGUCCUCCAGCUCGGAGACCUUAGAAGAGAGACUCAACCUCUCUGAGCUGUUUCCUCACUUGGCAAAUGGGGAAAAGACAGUUGCUUUUUGUCGGGAAUGUUGUGGGGGCGUAAAUAAGAUCAUGCACGUGAGGAGCCGAGAACGGGGCCUGGCGCUUGGCGAGGAAGCGAACAGCACCGGGCAGGGUCUGCAUCUAAGGGAACCUGUCUUCAUCAUGCCACAAGAACAGAAAGCUGAGAAAUGAUGGAAAGAGAAAGCAGAAGACCUCUGAGAAAGCAGGCCCAGGAACUAAGGCUGGAAGUAGGCAUUCUAGUUUUCCAGCAGUGGCUCUGCUCCUCAGUUGUUGACCUCAUCUGCCUGAACCAGUAUGGCUUUCACUACAUCUUUGCUCCAGUCAGAUGGAUGGAAGACGUGGGGGGCGCCAACAUCUCAGUUAUUUCGAGUCAGAGGCUCCGACUUGGCAAGGGACAAAGCUGUUAAGACAGAAGUGAUAUACAGUGAGAGUGAAGAGUGACUGGCUGCCAGUGAGCAAUUUAAAACAAGGCCUUUUUUCAAAAGUAGGUUGGCUUUAUAUAACCAGAGUAAAUUGGGAAAGUGAAGAAAUAAAUUUUGGUGAAGAACUAGGGACUCCAGCCCAGAGCACACAGGGUGGUCAUGAAAAUAGUAGAGACCAUGCUCCAGCCUUGUGGGCCAGCCUAUAACACCAGUUGA
Molecule: long non-coding RNA, 970 nt
Organism: Neofelis nebulosa (Clouded leopard)
Lineage: Eukaryota; Metazoa; Chordata; Mammalia; Carnivora; Felidae
Exons: 4
Source: RefSeq, a predicted model, not a curated record